CCUACGGGGGGCAGCAGUGAGGAAUAUUGGUCAAUGGGCGCAAGCCUGAACCAGCCACGUAGCGUGAAUGAUGACUGCCCUCCGGGUUUUAAGCUUCUUUUAUAAAGGAAUAAAGUGAGGCACGUGUGCCUUUUUGCAUGUACUUUAUGAAUAAGGAUCGGCUAACUACGUGCCAGCAGCCGCGGUAAUACGGAGGUUCCGAGCGUUAUCCGGAUUUAUUGGGUUUAAAGGGAGCGUAGAUGGGUUGUUAAGUCAGUUGUGAAAGUUUGCGGCUCAACCGUAAAAUUGCAAUUGAUACUGGCAGUCUUGAGUACAGGAGAGGUAGGCGGAAUUCGUGGUGUAGCGGUGAAAUGCGUAGAUAUUACGAAGAACUCCAGUUGCGAAGGCAGCUUACUAAACUGCCACUGACAUUGAGGCUCGAAAGUGUGGGUAUCAAACAGGAUUAGAUACCCUAGUAGUC
Molecule: ribosomal RNA, 460 nt
Filed under: uncultured bacterium
Lineage: Bacteria
Description: partial 16S ribosomal RNA
Rfam family: Bacterial small subunit ribosomal RNA
Source: RNAcentral